UAGGGUGUCCUAGAUGAUCUGUGGUCAGACCGGAAGACUCAUGUUAACACCCAUGGGGGUGGGGGGCAGUGAGUUGAUGGCCAACCCCACGUGUCACAUGAUGCUAUGACCAACAUCCCAUAUCACAAUCCGAUAACAGUAUCCAGAGUAUCUCGGUACAGAAGCUGGAACACAAAGCAUUCUCAUCUUCUCAUCCCAUCCCUCCGAAGAUGCCGGAAAUAUGGCUCUUGGAGUUCCUCCCAACGGGAUAAAAGGAGAUGGAAGUCCGGAGGUAAAGGACAAGAAAAUGGGAAAGCCAGAGAUCCAGAGAAGAAACGUGCUCCCAGAGAGGAAUCGGUGUCCAGGAAGUAAUGGCCAAGCUGGUCUAAAGAAUCACAGAAAGGGAGGGGCAUCGUUUGAGCACCUUGGUAAUCCCGGGCACCUUACCAGUCAGCGGCUAACCUCCACAAGAAUGAGCACUUCAACACUUCACAUGCCCCACACAGAGGUUCAAGCCAAGUGAUCCCCAGUUUUCAUCUAGCAAGGAGCUUUGAUUCACCUGCAUCUAUCCUGCAACAAGUUCCAGCGCAUGCUUUUAACUGUGUAUUUUAUUAGUUUAAUCCAUUCCCCCGUUAACAGACAGUUUGGCAUUAAUCUUUUUCUAUUACCAACAACGUGGAAGUGAAUAAAUUUCACGUGCUACCUCC
This is a non-coding RNA of Ictidomys tridecemlineatus (thirteen-lined ground squirrel), 686 nucleotides long. Lineage: Eukaryota; Metazoa; Chordata; Mammalia; Rodentia; Sciuridae. The record is from RefSeq and is a predicted model, not a curated record.